UGGGGGAUAUUGCACAAUGGGCGAAAGCCUGAUGCAGCGACGCCGCGUGGGGGAUGAAGGCUUUCGGGUUGUAAACCUCUUUCGCUAUCGAACAAGGCCCGCCUAGGGUGGGUUGAGGGUAGGUGGAGAAGAAGCGCCUGCUAACUACGUGCCAGCAGCUGCGGUACUACGUAGGGCGCGUGCGUUGUCCGGAAUUAUUGGGCGUAAAGGGCUUGUAGGCGGCUUGUUGCGCCUGCUGUGAAAACGCGGGGCUUAACUUCGCGCGUGCAGGGGGUACGGGCAGGCUGGAGUGUGGUAGGGGUGACUGGAAUUCCAGGUGUAGCGGUGGGAUGCGCAGAUAUCUGGGAGAACACCGAUGGCGAAGGCAGGUCACUGGGCAAUUACUGACGCUGAGGAGCGAAAGCAUGGGUAGCGAACAGG
Molecule: ribosomal RNA, 420 nt
Filed under: bacterium
Lineage: Bacteria
Description: partial 16S ribosomal RNA
Rfam family: Bacterial small subunit ribosomal RNA
Source: RNAcentral